RNAcentral lists this ribosomal RNA (301 nucleotides) under uncultured bacterium. RNAcentral describes it as "partial 16S ribosomal RNA". It matches the Rfam family "Bacterial small subunit ribosomal RNA", at positions 509 to 809 of the family's 1533-position model. The record is from RNAcentral.
CAGUAGCCGCUAAUACGUAGGGUGCAAGCGUUAAUCGGAAUUACUGGGCGUAAAGCGUGCGCAGGCGGUUAUAUAAGACAGAUGUGAAAUCCCCGGGCUCAACCUGGGAACUGCAUUUGUGACUGUAUAGCUAGAGUACGGCAGAGGGGGAUGGAAUUCCGCGUGUAGCAGUGAAAUGCGUAGAUAUGCGGAGGAACACCGAUGGCGAAGGCAAUCCCCUGGGCCUGUACUGACGCUCAUGCACGAAAGCGUGGGGAGCAAACAGGAUUAGAUACCCGAGUAGUCCCUGUCUCUUAUACAC